RNAcentral lists this microRNA precursor (136 nucleotides) under Hordeum vulgare. RNAcentral describes it as "microRNA MIR1122". It matches the Rfam family "MIR1120/MIR1122 microRNA precursor family". Lineage: Eukaryota; Viridiplantae; Streptophyta; Magnoliopsida; Poales; Poaceae. The record is from RNAcentral.
AACAUACUCCCUCCGUCCCAAAAUUCUUGUCUUAGAUUUCUCUAGAUCUGAAUGUAUUUAGUCAUGUUUUAGUACUUUGAUACGUUCAUUUCUAGAUAAACCUAUGAUAAAAAAAUUUAGGACGGAGGAAUACAUU